Molecule: ribosomal RNA, 165 nt
Filed under: Candidatus Fermentithermobacillaceae bacterium
Lineage: Bacteria; Bacillati; Bacillota; Candidatus Fermentithermobacillia; Candidatus Fermentithermobacillales; Candidatus Fermentithermobacillaceae
Description: partial 23S ribosomal RNA
Rfam family: Bacterial large subunit ribosomal RNA
Source: RNAcentral
GGAUAAGCGCUGAAAGCAUCUAAGCGCCAAGCCCACCCCAAGAUGAGGUAUCCCACGGAGUCAGUCCGGUAAGACCCCAGGGAGACUACCUGGUAGAUAGGCCGGGGGUGUAAGCGCGGUAACGCGUUUAGCUGAUCGGUACUAAUAGGUCGAGGCCUCGACUCU